UACAGAGGGUGCAAGCGUUAAUCGGAGUUACUGGGCGUAAAGGGUGUGUAGGCUGAUAUUUAAGUUGAUUGUGAAAUCCCUGGGCUUAACCUAGGAAUUGCAGUCAAUACUGGAUAUCUUGGAGUAUGGUAGAGGAAAGUGGAAUUCUCGGUGUAGUGGUUAAAUACGUAGAUAUCGAGAAGAACACCAGUGGCGAAGGCGACUUUCUGGACCAAUACUGACGCUGAGGCACGAAAGCGUGGGGA
This 245-nucleotide ribosomal RNA is filed under the name uncultured bacterium. RNAcentral's name for it is "partial 16S ribosomal RNA". It matches the Rfam family "Bacterial small subunit ribosomal RNA", at positions 524 to 767 of the family's 1533-position model. The record is from RNAcentral.